Danio aesculapii is the source of this 709-nucleotide long non-coding RNA. RefSeq lists it as uncharacterized. The record is from RefSeq and is a predicted model, not a curated record. NCBI's taxonomy places the organism in Eukaryota, Metazoa, Chordata, Actinopteri, Cypriniformes, Danionidae. The transcript is spliced from 3 exons.
UGAGCCAUCAAAGAAUGUCAUUAAAAACUGUCAUUGCCUGUCAACAGCACGUGUGAAUCCUGCUCGCAGCCUUCUUCUUUGGGUGAGCACGUCUUGCUUGACAACCCUGACUCUUACAUUGGAUCUGAAGGAUUUAACACACAGUUUCUUUCCUGGACUAAAUGACGAACACCUGCUUUCUGGAUUAAACCUGUAAUUCUGCUAAUAAUCUAUUUAAUACUAUUAGGAAUAGCCAUGUCAAUUGAGCAGGUUAUUUUUAAACCAUUGAAAAUGGUGCCUGUCUGCUGGAGUAGUUUGGGAAAGAUGAAUGUAAACACCGGAAGACAUGUGGAUGGAGAGUUGCAGAAGUCUUUAGCGAUAUCUACUGGACAGGGUGGGAGUUGCAGGUCAGAUGAUGGAUGAUGAGGAGAGGAGCAUGGUUUCUUCAGGGGAAUGUUACCACGUUUCCAUUUAAUGCAAGCCACUGUGAAGCUGACACAUUUUUCAGUAAGUAAUGCUAUUCGUAUGUGAUUUAAAACAGAGGGUGAGCGGUAACUGCAUGCUAAUUAACUUAACCAAUAUGUUGAUAUAGAUUUAGUGUAAAAGCAGGUUUUACUCAGAAAUUACAAAUCAACCAUAAGUAGCACAAUCAAUUAAAAUUAACUAAGGAUUGCCCAGCCUGAUCUCAAGAGGAAACACAACUUUGGUCUUUAAUCCAUCUUCCCAUUCU